RNAcentral lists this ribosomal RNA (559 nucleotides) under uncultured Paracoccaceae bacterium. RNAcentral's name for it is "bacterial SSU rRNA". It matches the Rfam family "Bacterial small subunit ribosomal RNA", at positions 339 to 916 of the family's 1533-position model. The record is from RNAcentral. Lineage: Bacteria; Pseudomonadati; Pseudomonadota; Alphaproteobacteria; Rhodobacterales; Paracoccaceae.
CUACGGGAGGCAGCAGUGGGGAAUCUUGGACAAUGGGCGCAAGCCUGAUCCAGCCAUGCCGCGUGAGUGAUGAAGGCCCUAGGGUCGUAAAGCUCUUUCGCCAGAGAUGAUAAUGACAGUAUCUGGUAAAGAAACCCCGGCUAACUCCGUGCCAGCAGCCGCGGUAAUACGGAGGGGGUUAGCGUUGUUCGGAAUUACUGGGCGUAAAGCGCACGUAGGCGGACCAGAAAGUUGGGGGUGAAAUCCCGGGGCUCAACCCCGGAACUGCCUCCAAAACUCCUGGUCUAGAGUUCGAGAGAGGUGAGUGGAAUUCCGAGUGUAGAGGUGAAAUUCGUAGAUAUUCGGAGGAACACCAGUGGCGAAGGCGGCUCACUGGCUCGAUACUGACGCUGAGGUGCGAAAGUGUGGGGAGCAAACAGGAUUAGAUACCCUGGUAGUCCACACCGUAAACGAUGAAUGCCAGUCGUCGGGCAGUAUACUGUUCGGUGACACACCUAACGGAUUAAGCAUUCCGCCUGGGGAGUACGGUCGCAAGAUUAAAACUCAAAGGAAUUGACGG